UGGGUCGACCAGGCGGCCGCGUUGGACGGGUGCGAGACGCACCGGAUCCACCGAGGAACGUCCGGGCUCCGCAGGGCAGGGUGGUGGGUAACGCCCACUCGGGGUAACCCGCAGGCCAGUGCCACAGAGAAGAGACCGCCCGUCGGGGAGCCGAGGCGCCGUGACGGGUAAGGGUGAAACGGCGGUGUAAGAGACCACCAGCAUGCCGGGUGACCGGCGUGGCUCGGUAAACCCCACCCGGAGCAAGGCCAGACAGUGCGCGAUCGAGGGCUGCCCGCCCGAGUGCACGGGUAGGCCGCUGGAGGGCGUCGGCAACGGCGUCCGUAGAUGGAUGGCCGCUACUCGCACGACGGCAACGACGUGCGAUGACAGAACCCGGCGUAUCGGUCGGCCCAUCCC
This 399-nucleotide RNase P RNA is filed under the name Arthrobacter echini. RNAcentral describes it as "RNase P RNA component class A". It matches the Rfam family "Bacterial RNase P class A". Rfam says of the family: Ribonuclease P (RNase P) is a ubiquitous endoribonuclease, found in archaea, bacteria and eukarya as well as chloroplasts and mitochondria. Its best characterised activity is the generation of mature 5'-ends of tRNAs by cleaving the 5'-leader elements of precursor-tRNAs. Cellular RNase Ps are ribonucleoproteins. Lineage: Bacteria; Bacillati; Actinomycetota; Actinomycetes; Micrococcales; Micrococcaceae. The record is from RNAcentral.